RNAcentral lists this ribosomal RNA (448 nucleotides) under uncultured bacterium. Its description in RNAcentral is "bacterial SSU rRNA". It matches the Rfam family "Bacterial small subunit ribosomal RNA", at positions 331 to 793 of the family's 1533-position model. The record is from RNAcentral.
CCAGACUCCUACGGGAGGCAGCAGUGGGGAAUAUUGGGCAAUGGGCGCAAGCCUGACCCAGCAACGCCGCGUGAAGGAAGAAGGCUUUCGGGUUGUAAACUUCUUUUCUCAGGGACGAAGAAAGUGACGGUACCUGAGGAAUAAGCCACGGCUAACUACGUGCCAGCAGCCGCGGUAAUACGUAGGUGGCAAGCGUUAUCCGGAUUUACUGGGUGUAAAGGGCGUGUAGGCGGGGAAGCAAGUCAGAUGCGAAAACCACGGGCUCAACCUGUGGCCUGCAUUUGAAACUGUUUUUCUUGAGUACUGGAGAGGCAGACGGAAUUCCUAGUGUAGCGGUGAAAUGCGUAGAUAUUAGGAGGAACACCAGUGGCGAAGGCGGCCUGCUGGGCUUUUACUGACGCUGAGGCUCGAAAGUGUGGGGAGCAAACAGGAUUAGAUACCCGAGUAC